Molecule: ribosomal RNA, 477 nt
Filed under: uncultured Bacteroidota bacterium
Lineage: Bacteria; Pseudomonadati; Bacteroidota
Description: bacterial SSU rRNA
Rfam family: Bacterial small subunit ribosomal RNA
Source: RNAcentral
UGAACGCUAGCGGCAGGCCUAACACAUGCAAGUCGAACGGUAACAUAGAUUGCUUGCAAUCUGAUGACGAGUGGCGCACGGGUGCGUAACGCGUAUGCAAUCUACCUUUUACAGGAGAAUAGCCCAGAGAAAUUUGGAAUAAUGCUCCAUAAUAUCAUUUAUCAGCAUUGGUUUAUGAUUAAAGCUCCGGCGGUAAAAGAUGAGCAUGCGUUCUAUUAGCUAGUAGGUGAGGUAACGGCUCACCUAGGCUACGAUAGAUAGGGGCCCUGAGAGGGGGAUCCCCCACACUGGUACUGAGACACGGACCAGACUCCUACGGGAGGCAGCAGUGAGGAAUAUUGGACAAUGGAGGAAACUCUGAUCCAGCCAUGCCGCGUGCAGGAUGACUGCCCUAUGGGUUGUAAACUGCUUUUAUAUAGGAAGAAACACUCCCACGUGUGGGGGCUUGACGGUACUAUAGAAUAAGGAUCGGCUAAC